Molecule: ribosomal RNA, 415 nt
Filed under: uncultured prokaryote
Description: bacterial SSU rRNA
Rfam family: Bacterial small subunit ribosomal RNA
Source: RNAcentral
GUGUCAGCAGCCGCGGUAAUACGUAGGGGGCGAGCGUUGUCCGAAUUUACUGGGCGUAAAGCGCGUGUAGGCGGCUCUCUAAGUCAGAUGUGAAAUCCUGUGGCUCAACCACAGAACUGCAUUUGAAACUGGAAGGCUUGAGUUUGGGAGAGGAGAGUGGAAUUCCUGGUGUAGCGGUGAAAUGCGUAGAUAUCAGGAGGAACACCCGUGGCGAAGGCGGCUCUCUGGUCCAACACUGACGCUGAGACGCGAAAGCUAGGGGAGCGAACGGGAUUAGAUACCCCGGUAGUCCUAGCCGUAAACGAUGGAUACUAGGUGUUAGAGGUAUCGACCCCUCUAGUGCCGUAGCUAACGCAUUAAGUAUCCCGCCUGGGGAGUACGGCCGCAAGGUUGAAACUCAAAUGAAUUGGCGGGG